AUACGUAGGGGGCGAGCGUUGUCCGGAAUGAUUGGGCGUAAGGGGCGCGUAGGCGGCCCGGUAAGUCUGGAGUGAAAGUCCUGUUUUUAAGAUGGGAAUUGCUUUGGAUACUGUCGGGCUUGAGUGCAGGAGAGGUAAGUGGAAUUCCCAGUGUAGCGGUGAAAUGCGUAGAGAUUGGGAGGAACACCAGUGGCGAAGGCGACUUACUGGACUGUAACUGACGCUGAGGCGCGAAAGUGUGGGGAGCAAACAGGAUUAGAUACCCUUGUAGUCCACACUGUAAACGAUGAAUGCUAGGUGUAGGGGGUAUCGACCCCUUCUGUGCCGCAGUCAACACAAUAAGCAUUCCGCCUGGGGAGUACGGCCGCAAGGUUGAAACUCAAAGGAAUUGACGGGG
Molecule: ribosomal RNA, 397 nt
Filed under: uncultured bacterium
Lineage: Bacteria
Description: partial 16S ribosomal RNA
Rfam family: Bacterial small subunit ribosomal RNA
Source: RNAcentral